RNAcentral lists this ribosomal RNA (406 nucleotides) under Megaesthesius yokoyai. RNAcentral's name for it is "partial 16S large subunit ribosomal RNA". It matches the Rfam family "Bacterial large subunit ribosomal RNA", at positions 1918 to 2597 of the family's 2925-position model. The record is from RNAcentral. Lineage: Eukaryota; Metazoa; Arthropoda; Malacostraca; Decapoda; Chasmocarcinidae.
GAUAUUUUAAGAGCCGCAGUACUUUAACUGGGCGAAGGUAGCAUAAUCAUUAGUCUUUUAAUUGAAGGCUUGUAUGAAUGGUCGGACAAAAGGAAUACUGUUUCUAUAAUAGAAAUUGAAUUUAACUUUUAAGUGAAAAGGCUUAAAUUUUCUAGAGGGACGAUAAGACCCUAUAAAACAUUUUAUUGGGGCGAUAGAGGUAAAAGUAGUAACUGUUUUAAAAAAUUACAGACAUUUUUGAAAUGAUCCUUUGUAAAGAUUAAAAGAUUAAGUUACUUUAGGGAUAACAGCGUAAUUUUUCUUGAGAGUUCUUAUCGAGAGAAGAGAUUGCGACCUCGAUGUUGAAUUAAAUUUUCUUUGUUAUGAAGGUGUAACAAAAGAGGGUCUGUUCGACCUUUAAAUAUUU